UCCGAGUUGACCCCGGCAGUCUCCCAUGAGUCCCCGGCAUAACCCGCUGGCAACAUGGAACGAGGGUUGCGCUCGUUGCGGGACUUAACCCAACAUCUCACGACACGAGCUGACGUCAGCCAUGCACCACCUGUGCACGGCCCUUACGGACCCCCCAUCUCUGGAGGAUUUCCGUGCAUGUCAAGCCUAGGUAAGGUUCUUCGCGUUGCAUCGAAUUAAUCCGCAUGCUCCGCCGCUUGUGCGGGCCCCCGUCAAUUCCUUUGAGUUUUAGCCUUGCGGCCGUACUCCCCAGGCGGAACACUUAUCGCGUUGGCUACGGCACCGAGGGAUUCGACUCCCCCAACACCUAGUGUUCAUCGUUUACGGCAUGGACUAC
This 376-nucleotide unclassified non-coding RNA is filed under the name uncultured Actinomycetes bacterium. RNAcentral describes it as "uncultured actinobacterium contains 16S-23S intergenic spacer region". Lineage: Bacteria; Bacillati; Actinomycetota; Actinomycetes. The record is from RNAcentral.